AGCGAGGCUAGAGUCACGCCUAGACACUUGACCUGUUGUCCUGGUGUGCUAGAGUGCUCGCAGAGGAAAAGAUCUUUGCUUAUUCAUUGGCUGUAGUCUCAUGUGUCCCAGUCAAUCACCAGCUCAGAAACAUGA
Small nucleolar RNA from Pleuronectes platessa (European plaice), 135 nucleotides. RefSeq annotates it as small nucleolar RNA SNORA3/SNORA45 family. The transcript has a single exon. Lineage: Eukaryota; Metazoa; Chordata; Actinopteri; Pleuronectiformes; Pleuronectidae. The record is from RefSeq and is a predicted model, not a curated record.